This 1640-nucleotide long non-coding RNA is filed under the name Homo sapiens (human). Its description in RNAcentral is "non-protein coding LINC01093:10". Lineage: Eukaryota; Metazoa; Chordata; Mammalia; Primates; Hominidae. The record is from RNAcentral.
CAAUUCUGGGAAUGUUCAGGCUCUCUCUGUUCUUUCCUCUCUUGCAAACCAUGGGCACCCUUGGGUCCCUUGGGGUCACUAUGUUACACCUGCUUUUUAUCUGUCUGGGCAAGAGCUGCUCAAGCCACACCUUGUGACACUGAGGUGAAAAGGCAGGUCGGGUGAAGAAGAGCAGGAUGUUUCAUUUUUAUCAAGCAUCACCUGAUUCAAAAUGUAGCCACUGAAAAGAAGCCAUCGUUUUUGGCCUGCGUCUCUGAGGAUAAGAUAAUCAGCUAUGAAAAUACCCAGCCGGCCUGCAGCCCUCCCGGCAGAUGCUGAAAAGGAAACCCGACUGGGAGAUGCCGCCCACCCUUAUCCCCAGAGAGCUGCGUUGUUUCCUCUUGCCUUGGCCUUUGGAUCCGGCCAUAGCAAGCAUCCCUGGGCACCUGGCUGAAGCUGGAAACUCGGGAUAAGAAUGGAAGCCCUGGAAGGGAAGAAGAACCGAGGAGAGGACAGCACAUUGCACUCUCACCUCCUUUGCAGUUAAGUGUGAAAUAGUGCCAAUAGAGUGUAAAAGAAAAGAAAGAAGAUGAUUCACCUCCCAAAGAUUCCCCACUGCUGUGUCCCUUCUAUCAACUUGAUACAAAAAAACACAAUGGCCCCGGGAACCACGUGUUGAAGAUGAGAGAGCUAAAAGAUGGAAAGAGACUGGAGCCCUGAGUCACCACCUGGAGGAAAACUACCCACCCAUCAGGAAUUUCUACUACACAUUUGGGAGUUUUUGGGGUUACAGCAGCUAAUUUAACGAAAACACCCAGAGACAAGAGCUAUUACUGCACAAAUUGGUUAAGUUACCUUUUUGUAUGUUUGGGUCCUCUCUAUUCGAUGAGACUGCGCGUUCCUUUGAAGCAAAUCUGUUUAAAAUUCUUAUAUCCCCAGAGGGCCUAGCAGAGAGUAUGCACAGAGUGAGCCUUCAGUAAAUGCUGAGUAAAUAAGCUCCUAAUGGAUGAAACUGUGUCUUCGAAGUUUGUUCUGACCAGUACUUAGUAUAGGAUUUUGUGCUGUUGGUCACUUUUCAUAAAGGUUCUUGCUAUUAAGGAACUUGACAUCCAAUGUACUCAUAGAAAGUAGAAAUUCAGGGGAAACAAAUAGAAGAGAUAUGUCCAAAAAUCCAUUUAAAAUUUCAUUGACAGAUAUUUAUCUCUUUAAUCCUGGAAGUUGUUUCAUGUAAGGGAAGGUUCAGUAGAAUGAAAACAGGACUGUAAGCUGGGAGGAGAUUUGGGGUCUCUUGGCCAACUCUGCCACAAAUUGUGUUACCUUCAACUUCCCUGCCUGUAAAAUGAAGUCAGUGGUCCCUAAAAUGAAAUUGGACUAAUGGCAAAUUAGCUAGCAUUUGAUUAUACAUCGAUAGUUUCCCCAUGUGAUUUUAACGCACAAAUCAGAUUUUGGAACCAUUAGGUAGGUGAUCUUAUCUUAUGAGUUUAUCUUUUUCAACAUGGAAAAAUAAAUUUGUUUUGCUGACCGAAGGCUGUGUAACUUAGAACUGGAAAGAGACAUGUAAUUGAAUAACCCAUCUCUAUGGGGCAAAAAAAUGAAACACCUUUAGUUUGUUCAAAGAUGAAAUGGAAAAAUAAACAUGUUUUAAGAUGACUUGGUAGAGA